Molecule: non-coding RNA, 278 nt
Organism: Pelobates cultripes (western spadefoot toad)
Lineage: Eukaryota; Metazoa; Chordata; Amphibia; Anura; Pelobatidae
Source: the annotation of a GenBank genome assembly
AUCAUAUGGACGUGACCCUGGAAAGUCAUCAGAAAAUGCACUCUUGGCAGCGAGCAGCAUCAGAGACCACACCGGAACAGAGCUGGAGAGCCCCUUCAAUCGCGACAAGUUAUCUCAAAGUGAUGCAUGUCUCUUUAACACAAAAUAGUUGAUCCGAAGAAAUUACAAUUUAAUUAUUUUAACAUUUUGUUAGUCAAAAAUUGUUCAAACAACAAAAAAAGUUUGUUUUUCACUUUUAGCAGCACAAUAGAACUUCACUUAAUGUGCCACUGUCUUCU